RNAcentral lists this ribosomal RNA (509 nucleotides) under uncultured bacterium. RNAcentral's name for it is "bacterial SSU rRNA". It matches the Rfam family "Bacterial small subunit ribosomal RNA", at positions 28 to 526 of the family's 1533-position model. The record is from RNAcentral.
GACGAACGCUGGCGGCGUGCUUAACACAUGCAAGUCGAACGGAAAGGCCCUUCCGGGGUACUCGAGUGGCGAACGGGUGAGUAACACGUGGGUAACCUGCCCAUCAGAGGGGGAUAACACUUGGAAACAGGUGCUAAUACCGCAUAAUUCCUUUUACCGCAUGGUAAAAGGCUGAAAGGCGCUUCUGGUGUCACUGAUGGAUGGACCCGCGGUGCAUUAGCUAGUCGGUGGGGUAACGGCCUACCGAGGCGAUGAUGCAUAGCCGACCUGAGAGGGUGAUCGGCCACAUUGGGACUGAGACACGGCCCAAACUCCUACGGGAGGCAGCAGUAGGGAAUCUUCGGCAAUGGACGAAAGUCUGACCGAGCAACGCCGCGUGAGUGAAGAAGGUUUUCGGAUCGUAAAACUCUGUUGUUAGAGAAGAACAGGAGAAGUAGUAACUGGCUUCUUUUUGACGGUAUCUAACCAGAAAGCCACGGCUAACUACGUGCCAGCAGCCGCCGUAACAC